This 338-nucleotide ribosomal RNA is filed under the name uncultured bacterium. Its description in RNAcentral is "bacterial SSU rRNA". It matches the Rfam family "Bacterial small subunit ribosomal RNA", at positions 542 to 877 of the family's 1533-position model. The record is from RNAcentral.
UAUCCGGAAUUAUUGGGCGUAAAGGGCUCGUAGGCGGUUCGUCGCGUCCGGUGUGAAAGUCCAUCGCUUAACGGUGGAUCCGCGCCGGGUACGGGCGGGCUUGAGUGCGGUAGGGGAGACUGGAAUUCCCGGUGUAACGGUGGAAUGCGUAGAUAUCGGGAAGAACACCAAUGGCGAAGGCAGGUCUCUGGGCCGUUACUGACGCUGAGGAGCGAAAGCGUGGGGAGCGAACAGGAUUAGAUACCCUGGUAAUCCACGCCGUAAACGGUGGAUGCUGGAUGUGGGGCCCGUUCCACGGGUUCCGUGUCGGAGCUAACGCGUUAAGCAUCCCGCCUGGG